RNAcentral lists this ribosomal RNA (488 nucleotides) under Enterococcus faecalis. RNAcentral's name for it is "bacterial SSU rRNA". It matches the Rfam family "Bacterial small subunit ribosomal RNA", at positions 1 to 468 of the family's 1533-position model. Lineage: Bacteria; Bacillati; Bacillota; Bacilli; Lactobacillales; Enterococcaceae. The record is from RNAcentral.
UAUUAUGAGAGUUUGAUCCUGGCUCAGGACGAACGCUGGCGGCGUGCCUAAUACAUGCAAGUCGAACGCUUCUUUCCUCCCGAGUGCUUGCACUCAAUUGGAAAGAGGAGUGGCGGACGGGUGAGUAACACGUGGGUAACCUACCCAUCAGAGGGGGAUAACACUUGGAAACAGGUGCUAAUACCGCAUAACAGUUUAUGCCGCAUGGCAUAAGAGUGAAAGGCGCUUUCGGGUGUCGCUGAUGGAUGGACCCGCGGUGCAUUAGCUAGUUGGUGAGGUAACGGCUCACCAAGGCCACGAUGCAUAGCCGACCUGAGAGGGUGAUCGGCCACACUGGGACUGAGACACGGCCCAGACUCCUACGGGAGGCAGCAGUAGGGAAUCUUCGGCAAUGGACGAAAGUCUGACCGAGCAACGCCGCGUGAGUGAAGAAGGUUUUCGGAUCGUAAAACUCUGUUGUUAGAGAAGAACAAGGACGUUAGUAACUG